This 582-nucleotide long non-coding RNA is filed under the name Anas platyrhynchos (mallard). RNAcentral's name for it is "lncRNA (ENSAPLG00020011919.1)". The record is from RNAcentral. Lineage: Eukaryota; Metazoa; Chordata; Aves; Anseriformes; Anatidae.
GGGGGUUCUGGGGGGUACUGGGGGGUACCGGGGGUUAACGGGGGGGUAACGGGGGAGGACUGAGGGGGCCGGCAGGGGGCGCUCUAGCACACAUCGGGCAACUCUAUGGUAGCGCCGCUCUAGCCGCGCGCUCUAUGGUGCCGCGCGCUACUUCCGGCCCGCCCCUGGGUUGGGGAGGGUGACCCGGAAGUGCUGUGGCGGGUUGGCGGGCGGGAACUACAACUCCCAGCAGCCCCCGCGGCGGGCGCGGCUUAACCCCUCCCCCCCCUUUCCCCCCCCCCUUCACACCCAGCCGGCGUCGCCGCCGUGCUGACGUCAUCGUCGCGGCGGCGUCACCGCGCCGCGGCGACGUCAUCACGCCGCGGCGACGUCAUCACGCCGCGGGACGCCGGCGGCCGGCCCCCGCCGCAGCCAUUUGGAGGAAGUUGGGGAAGAGCCGAGCCCGCCCUGGAAGCUGGAGGGGGAGGACACGGCCGCCGCCACCCCCCCGCGCCCCACGGCCCCCAGUGGGGGCACCAUGUCCGCCGGGGGGGCUCCCCAGCCUGCCCACGUCCUGAACCUGCUCCCUUACCCCAGGCUGAA